GAAAUAUAUAUUAUUAAGCUGCUAACUUAAUUUAUAGUGGUUAAUACCAUUAAUAUUUCU
This 60-nucleotide transfer RNA is filed under the name Catopsilia pomona (lemon migrant). Its description in RNAcentral is "tRNA-Ser". Lineage: Eukaryota; Metazoa; Arthropoda; Insecta; Lepidoptera; Pieridae. The record is from RNAcentral.